UAGGGAAUCUUCCGCAAUGGGCGAAAGCCUGACGGAGCAACGCCGCGUGAGUGAUGAAGGUCUUCGGAUCGUAAAACUCUGUUAUUAGGGAAGAACAAAUGUGUAAGUAACUAUGCACGUCUUGACGGUACCUAAUCAGAAAGCCACGGCUAACUACGUGCCAGCAGCCGCGGUAAUACGUAGGUGGCAAGCGUUAUCCGGAAUUAUUGGGCGUAAAGCGCGCGUAGGCGGUUUUUUAAGUCUGAUGUGAAAGCCCACGGCUCAACCGUGGAGGGUCAUUGGAAACUGGAAAACUUGAGUGCAGAAGAGGAAAGUGGAAUUCCAUGUGUAGCGGUGAAAUGCGCAGAGAUAUGGAGGAACACCAGUGGCGAAGGCGACUUUCUGGUCUGUAACUGACGCUUAUGUGCGAAAGCGUGGGGAUCAAACAGG
Molecule: ribosomal RNA, 429 nt
Filed under: Actinomycetes bacterium
Lineage: Bacteria; Bacillati; Actinomycetota; Actinomycetes
Description: Actinobacteria bacterium partial 16S ribosomal RNA
Rfam family: Bacterial small subunit ribosomal RNA
Source: RNAcentral